GUCGAACCAACGGCGCUCAGCCAGCCACCGACACGGACGAGGAAGGCGUAGGUGAUGUCGUGGAGUUUGGGUUCAGGCGGGACCAUGAAGAUCGCCAGGCUCCUUCUCCCCUGGUCUUGUUCCACUCUUUCUGUGAAGGCACCAACCUGCCUCCCAGCUUCGAAAACUACUACUUCGCCACGUACCUCCUCAUCUAUGAAGACACAAAAGUUGACUACAGUGAACAUUACAAGAGAUAAACAGGGAUUAUUUUCUUUAGUAUUUCGCUAAAGAAAUCCUAAAGAAUCUGAAUCUGCCUGACCUGUUCAACUUUAGACUGAGAAGAUGCAAUCAACAGUCUACAAUCUACAGUCUACAAUCAACAGUUUCACCACCUGGAUUAUACUAUACAGUAUUUGUAAAACAAGGAGAGGAAGUGUUUCCCUUCAGAAGUCGUCAGUGUAAUUUGUUCCCUCAUGAUGGAUUUCCUGAUGUAAGUCAGAGGGAAAGAUAGGUGGGACCUUGGAGUAGAAUAUCCAAUGAGAAACUACUUAACACUUCAAAACUGGGUGCUAUUGGCUGUGGCAGUCUGCUGUGAAGGAGAGCCACUGCCUUACUAAAGUUUUUUCCUUGUGUCAUUUUGAUUUAAAAUUGCUGUCAUUGUGAUAUAACUUGUUAGGAUCUGUACACCGGACAAUAAAUAUUGAUCAUUAAAGUAUUUGUCAUUAGACAAGAUCAGGC
This 720-nucleotide long non-coding RNA is filed under the name Neogobius melanostomus (round goby). RNAcentral's name for it is "lncRNA (ENSNMLG00000023644.1)". Lineage: Eukaryota; Metazoa; Chordata; Actinopteri; Gobiiformes; Gobiidae. The record is from RNAcentral.